GUGGAUUAGAUACCCUGGUAGUCCACGCCCUAAACGAUGUCUAUUAGUUGUUGGGUUUUAAUUAACUUAGUAACGAAGCUAACGCGCGAAAUAGACCGCCUGGGGAGUACGGCCGCAAGGUUAAAACUCAAAGGAAUUGACGGGGACCCGCACAAGCGGUGGAUGAUGUGGAUUAAUUCGAUGCAACGCGAAAAACCUUACCUACACUUGACAUGUCAGGAACAUUCCAGAGAUGGAUUGGUGCCCGAAAGGGAACCUGAACACAGGUGCUGCACGGCCGUCGUCAGCU
Molecule: ribosomal RNA, 289 nt
Filed under: uncultured bacterium
Lineage: Bacteria
Description: partial 16S ribosomal RNA
Rfam family: Bacterial small subunit ribosomal RNA
Source: RNAcentral